UACAGAGGGGGCGAGCGUUGUUCGGAAUUACUGGGCGUAAAGGGCGCGUAGGCGGCCUUCUAAGUCGAACGUGAAAUCCCCGGGCUCAACCCGGGAACUGCGUCCGAUACUGGAUGGCUUGAGUUCGGGAGAGGGGUGCGGAAUUCCAGGUGUAGCGGUGAAAUGCGUAGAUAUCUGGAGGAACACCGGUGGCGAAGGCGGCAUCCUGGACCGAUACUGACGCUGAGGAGCGAAAGCCAGGGGAGCAAACGGG
RNAcentral lists this ribosomal RNA (253 nucleotides) under uncultured bacterium. RNAcentral describes it as "partial 16S ribosomal RNA". It matches the Rfam family "Bacterial small subunit ribosomal RNA", at positions 524 to 776 of the family's 1533-position model. The record is from RNAcentral.